This 440-nucleotide ribosomal RNA is filed under the name uncultured bacterium. Its description in RNAcentral is "partial 16S ribosomal RNA". It matches the Rfam family "Bacterial small subunit ribosomal RNA", at positions 338 to 795 of the family's 1533-position model. The record is from RNAcentral.
CCUACGGGAGGCAGCAGUGGGGAAUAUUGCACAAUGGGGGGAACCCUGAUGCAGCGACGCCGCGUGAGUGAAGAAGUAUUUCGGUAUGUAAAGCUCUAUCAGCAGGGAAGAAAAAGACGGUACCUGUUUAAGAAGCCCCGGCUAACUACGUGCCCGAAGCCGCGGUAAUACGUAGGGGGCAAGCGUUAUCCGGAUUUACUGGGUGUAAAGGGAGCGUAGACGGCAGCACAAGUCUGGAGUGAAAUGCCGGGGCUUAACCCCGGAACUGCUUUGGAAACUGUGCAACUAGAGUGCAGGAGAGGUAAGUGGAAUUCCUAGUGUAGCGGUGAAAUGCGUAGAUAUUAGGAGGAACACCAGUGGCGAAGGCGGCUUACUGGACUGUAACUGACGUUGAGGCUCGAAAGCGUGGGGAGCAAACAGGAUUAGAUACCCUGGUAGUC